This 600-nucleotide ribosomal RNA is filed under the name uncultured bacterium. Its description in RNAcentral is "bacterial SSU rRNA". It matches the Rfam family "Bacterial small subunit ribosomal RNA", at positions 889 to 1482 of the family's 1533-position model. The record is from RNAcentral.
CAAGACUAAAAUUUAAAGGAAUUGACGGGAACCUGCACAAGCGGUGGAGUAUGUGGUUUAAUGCGAAGACACACGUCGAACCUUACCAGCUUUUGACAUGUAUUUGAAAGAACAAGAGAUUGUUCUGGCCUCGCAAGAGGACAAAUACACAGGUGUUGCACGGCCGUCGUCAGCUCGUGUCGUGAGAUGUUAGGUUAAGUCCUGUAACGAGCGUGACCCUUGUUGCUAUUUGCCAGCGGGUAAUGCCGGGAACUUUAGCAAGACCGCUAACGUAAGUUGGAGGAAGGAGAGGAUGACGACAGGUGGCGUGACCUUUAUGAGCUGGGCUACACACGUGCUACAAUGGCGACUACAGAGAGCGGCGAUGGAGUGAUCCGGAGCAAAUCUUUUAAAAGUCGUCUCAGUUCGGAUUGCUCUCUGCAACUCGAGAGCAUGAAGUUGAAAUCGCUAGUAAUCGCAGAUAAGAAUGCUGCGGUGAAUAAGUUCUCAGGUUUUGUACACACCGCCCGUCACACCACGGGAGUUAGUCUAAUUCGAAGUCGAUCCAGCCAACCCGCUUGCGGGAGGCAGACGAUCAGGGUUAGGUUGAUGAUUGGGGUU